GCUGUUGUUUGUUUGUUUGUUUGUUUGUUUUUUGUUUGUUUUGUUGAUUAAAUGGACCAAACAUUUGAAUAAUUGUUUUAUUUGUUUUUAUUCUGAAUGUUUUUGUCUUUCAGACUCGUGCAGACGACAUGUUCUUCACCAGUUUCAAGAACGAACCUCCGAAGGUUUUCCAGCAGGACAUUCCUCCCCUCGACGAGGAUGACGACGACGAGCAGGAGGAGUCCAAUGAGACGGAUCGUCCGGACUUCUGAAGACGCAGAUGAAGCCGUCGCCAUGACGUGAAAAGACUCGGACUCAGAUCUGCAAUAUUUACUCCUCCACUAUAAAAAUGUCCUGAACAAAACCAAAUAAAAGAAAUGUAUUUGUGAAAAGAAAAACAAA
Long non-coding RNA from Boleophthalmus pectinirostris (great blue-spotted mudskipper), 381 nucleotides. RefSeq lists it as uncharacterized. The transcript has 5 exons. NCBI's taxonomy places the organism in Eukaryota, Metazoa, Chordata, Actinopteri, Gobiiformes, Gobiidae. The record is from RefSeq and is a predicted model, not a curated record.